CCUGCUAAAGCAGACACAGGAAAGAAUGUUUUCCUGAAGCAGACGCAGGUGAAAGGAGAUAGCAAGACGUGAAAGAAUGCUUGAUGAAGGAAUAUAAAUAUGACCCACAGACAGUGUGAGAUGAGCACUGAGCAUUGGUUUGGUUUGCUAGGCCUUGCUAUUUUUCACCAGCAACAUUAAUAUAUUGGUUCACCUUAUAUAGUGUUGUGAAGUUCAACUUGUGAUAAUGCAGCCAUUGCGAGAAACUAGCUCAAGAACUGCUUGCGAGGUCCCCAGGCGAUGCAGCUUACCACUUCCUCAGCUUCACCUCAGUAGACAAUACAAUCUCUGGGACCAUAAUGUGAUCAAAUAUCCUGCAACAUCAGUCAUCAAGAAAACAAAUAAGCAUAAAUUUUGGAUCUCAGUCUGUGUCCCAGGCUGACCUGGAUCUUAUGAAGCUGCCCUCAAGCCCACUGCAAUUCAUUUACCUCAGCUUGCUAAUUACUGAAACCACAGUAUGGGUCACCAUUUCUAGCCUGCUUGUUUGUUUUCAUGAGAGUAGCCAUAUUGAGCAUGAGGUCAACUCAGAAUUGGGAACAGCAAAGAGUCCCUGAGAAAAGAAACUGACACCCUGGAUCUGGCUGUCCUGAGCUGUGCCAUCCAUCCCAUGACUUGCAUCUAAAAGGGAACACAUGCUAUUAUUUAUGUGAGCUUGAGCAAGGUCCAUGACAUGCAUCUAAAGGUAUCUUAAAGUGAAAUUCUAUGUUUAAAUGGAUAUUUUCUUUAUGGUAGCAACAUGAUCUAGAGCAGGGUUGUCAAAUAGAACAUUUUGAGAUGAUGAAUGUUGUCUUUACAAUGUAGAUGGACACAGUCCUCAUUUGUUGGUUGAAAAAUUGAAAUUUGCUGCUUCAGGCCUGGGUGGAUUACUGGGUAGUGAGAGGGUUUCCUAUGAAGGCAAGAUAACCUGGAUUCUAACCCUCAGUAACCAUACAGAAUCCAAGCAUGGCUGCACACACUUGCAACAUCAGUGUUGGGUUUAUUUCAAGAACUCUCUGGCCAGAUAUUCUAGAACAAAUGACAAACUUCAGACUCAGUGAGAGAACUUGUCUUAAAAACUAAUAUGGGGUGAUACAGGAAGACAUCCAGUAUUUAGUUUGCACAUAAAUAUGUGGACUCCAUACCCACAUUCAACCUUAUACAAAUACACAAAGAGAAAGAAGGAUGUCAAUGCAACACAGGACCUGAAGUUCUAAUUUAAGUUGGUUUUCAUUCAUUUAAGUUCAAAUAGACUUAGACUCAUGUCUCUUUAGGGAGUGUCUUUUCAGAGGUAGGUGAGUCAGCUUUCUGAUUGCCGAAGUGACUACCACACUCUUCUAAACUUUUGUCUUCCACAUGAUCAUUAGUAGCUGCUCUCUUUCUUUCCUUCCUUCCUUCCUUCCUUCCUUCCUUCCUUCCUUCCUUCCUUCCUUCCUUCCUUCCUUCCUCCCUCCCUCCCUCCCUCCCUCCCUCCCUCCCUCCCUCCCUUCUCUCUCUCUCUCUCUCUCUCUCUCUCUCUCUCUCUCUCUCUCUCUCGUUGUUUGUUUGUUUUUUUUUUGAGACAGAGUUUCUCUGUGUAGCUCUGGCUGUCUUGGAACUCACUCUGUAGCCCAGGCUGGCCUUGAACUCAGAAAUCUGCCUGUGUCUGCCUCUUAAGUGCUAGGAUUAAAGGUGUGCGCCACCACUGCCCAGCCAUAGCUGUUCUUUCAUUUUGUAUGUUGGUAAAUAAUUCUAAAUAAAACAAAAUUUGUUUAACCUGAAAUAUCUAUGGAACUAACUGUCUGUCUGUCUGUCUGCCUCUCUCUCUCUCUCUCUCUCUCUCUCUGUGUGUGUGUGUGUGUGUAUACAUGCUGCCUAUACAUGCAUGUCUAUGUAGUACUGAAAGCUUUCUAGUUGCUCAGAUUUGUCUAUCGUGUAAUGGGUUUAAGAAAAGUAAGUAUGUAUUUAUUCCUUGCCAAACAACCUAAGUCAAAUACAUCCAAAAACAACCCUCAGCAGUGAAGAGCAACAUGUCAUUUUAUAUUGAUAUGUGUAAGUGUUAAACACUUAGAAGGGGAAAACGUAGGCAGCCUUCUUUCACUAAUUCCAGCCAACAUAGAUCCUCAGGAGGAUGUGAAGACACUUGGAUCACACCAUGUGCAAAAUGAGUCAUCAGCUGAUACCUGAAGAUUGCCUGGUUUGAUUUUACAAAUAAUGUCAUGGGUGCUUUAUACUUAAAACAUCACCAAGAAAAGCUCCAUAAAUUGCCAGGUGCUUAACUAAUAGCAACUCAUUAACUUCUGAAUAUAGUCUCUACACGUUCUAUUCGUUAUAGGAUUAUAAGAAUAUUCUCCAAUUUAACUUGAAGUACCUUUUACAGUUAAAAAUAUCUGAAAGCAUUUUGGAAAUAAAGUGUAUGGUGUUAGCAUAGUAUACUAUUUUAGGGAUUAUGACCCAGAAUAAAAUGGUUAAAUAAACCACAUUCAAACUAUUAGAUUACUGACUAGAUUUUCAGAUUUCUAGCAGAAAGGAAAUAGAACUCAAAAGAAAAUUAAUUAGUCUACCUAAGAAAGUCCACAGCAUCUUUGAUAAGCUAUCAGACAAACAGAGCCUCCUCUGAAAAACAAGAAAGCAACCCAGGCUUGAAUAAACUUCUGGCAGCUUGUCUGUACCUUAUACUCAAGGAUGCAGACAGCCUUCAGGAAGAUGAUAUGAACUGUCAGGUUCAGCCUGCUGUAAUUGGAGUGUAUAUUGACUUCGGUCAGUUAGUAUAAAGAACAUCAACUCCCCAAGUGCUCACAUUGAUGGAGAUGUGAUAACUGAAGAUUGUCCUUAAGAUGUCUGCCACUUGAAGAAAGGUUUCUCUCCAGUACUUAGGAGGAAUUUUAUAUUUCUGUUCCAGAUGCAGUCUAAUAUGAGUUACUUCUUGACUAUUAAACAUACGUUUAUAAUAGGGUACUUUAUUUGAUCAUAUUCUGUCAUUUACUCAGUUGAAGCUGAGUGAUUACAAACAUAUAGAGGCUAGAAACAACUAAAAAUUUUUUUUGGGGGGGGGAA
Long non-coding RNA from Mus musculus (house mouse), 3051 nucleotides. RefSeq annotates it as predicted gene, 40202. The record is from RefSeq and is a predicted model, not a curated record. The transcript has 3 exons. NCBI's taxonomy places the organism in Eukaryota, Metazoa, Chordata, Mammalia, Rodentia, Muridae.